This 625-nucleotide small RNA is filed under the name Pongo abelii (Sumatran orangutan). Its description in RNAcentral is "retained intron". Lineage: Eukaryota; Metazoa; Chordata; Mammalia; Primates; Hominidae. The record is from RNAcentral.
AUGUGUUGUAAUGGCGGCUGUUUCAUUGUCAUCCGCGUCGGCAUGGCUGAAUCCGAGACGCAUCGCCGCCAUCCCGUCUUGGCCGGCGCCGGGGGCUUGCUCUAGGGGCACGGGCGACCCAGCGGGGAUUUCAGUCUGGCCUAUUUUCUGUAAAGUCGAGAGGCUUGUGGAGAAGAGCGCUUGGAGGACUGGCUUUGGGCCUGCAGUCUCACAGAAAGUUCUCCGCUCCCAGACAUGGGUCCCUCGGCUUCCUGCCUCGGAAGCGCAGCAGCAGGCAUCGUGGGAAGGUGAAGAGCUUCCCUAAGGAUGACCCGUCCAAGCCGGUCCACCUCACAGCCUUCCUGGGAUACAAGGCUGGCAUGACUCACAUCGUGCGAGAAGUCGACAGGCCAGGAUCCAAGGUGAACAAGAAGGAGGUGGUGGAGGCUGUGACCAUUGUAGAGACACCACCCAUGGUGGUUGUGGGCAUUGUGGGCUACGUGGAAACCCCUCGAGGCCUCCGGACCUUCAAGACUGUCUUCGCUGAGCACAUCAGUGAUGAAUGCAAGAGGCGUUUCUAUAAGAAUUGGUAAGGGAGGAGGCCAUGCAGUCCCUAGCUUGGGAGCUGGAGAGCAGGGAGCAGCAC